UUCAGAGUUGUUGAAGUCGUUGUCAGCAAGAUUCAGCCUUGUGAGCUGAACAAGGUGGAAGAGGCUGCUAUUGGAGUCGAUGGAGCCAUAAAGGCAGCUGCUACUGAGGUCAAGGCCGAUCACAUGACCAGAGUCUCCGUCACAUUCAACACCAUCCCAUGAGCAGCAAUCACCACUUUCUCCAUCAACUUUCCAUGAUGCAACCUUAGGAUAGGCAGAAGGCUCAUAAGAAGCGGACGCAUUAAUGACAAGGCUUUCCUUGAGCUGCAACAAGGCAUGACUCUCGUCAUCAUGGCAUAGAGGCUGCAUGGAAGGAGAAGAAUAACAAGCUCUAAGAUGAAACAAAGACAGCAAAAAGAGCAAAAGCAUCCGCAUGGUUAAGAAACACACAGGUGAUGCCAUGUUUUUUAGUAAAGAAACUCUUAUCUUUUUUAAUAAACAAGUAAGAGAAAUAAAGCAGUUUAUAUAGACAAAAAUAUUCAGUCUGGUAGAAAAGUAAACAAAGUAUUGUAUUUUUCAUUGAUUUGAUUGAAAACAAUGGAGAUUUUUCACUAAUUAUUUCUAUUGGAUCGAGCCAUCAAUCCAUUAUAUAUAUUAAGUAGUUAUUAAUUUUUCCUCUAUUUGAUGGUAUAACCGUUUGACUUUAACCAAUUAACGAAUAAAGGGAUUUUUAAGGAAAAAUUAUCUCCUCGAUGAUAUAAAAAAUAAUAAGAAUAAAAGUGUUUUUAAUCAAAAUUAAAAGUAAAGCUCUCAAAAUAUUAUUUUUUUCAAUAAAAAUACAAAAGUAAAUAGCUUUUAGUCAAUUUAAAUAGCGCACAACUAUUUUAUAUACGGUCUAAAGCAUCAAAUUGGGUUCUGAUUUUUAACCUCAUUUUUUACUAUUUGGCUUUUUAAUUAAAAUUUUCAAUUAAAAAUUUCAGCUAUAAAGACUCUAAUCAUUUUAGAAAUCUUAAAUAUAUCAUAGACUAACUAGAAAGAUUUCUCGUUGCCUUGCUUUCUUUUUUCAAGUUUUUCCUUAUUUUCCUUUAUCUUUCAGCCCUCAUUUAUUUGAUGGUGCUGUCUAAUAUAUAAUUCUCUCAAUUAUUAUUUUUUAAAAAAUAAAAGAGAUCAAAAUCUCUUGUUUACAAUUUUUUCUCCAAAUGAGGUCUUCUUUAGUAGUUUCUCUUCUGCUUUUGUCCUUGCUUCGACAGACGAAGAGUCUAUGUAUAUACUAAAAUUAUCAAUCAUUAAUUUAAAGUUGCAUUAUCAAUCAUUUCAAGUUGCCGAAGAGUCUUAUUUUUGCAUUUUAUAUUAUUAGUUUUAACAUUUAUUGUUAUUAAUUUUCAGUAGGGAUUCGUUUAGAAAGAGGAUCCAUGCAAGAUUGAGCUCAAAAUGUCCAGGUGGGUUUUAUAUAUUCAGCAUCCAUUGUGAUGCAUUCAAAUGAAUAUUUUUACUUAUUUUCAAUUUACCUUCAAUUUACUUAUUUUCAAUUUACCUUCAAUUUACCUUCAAUUUAUUCAGCAGAGGAUCGAGAGGAGUUCUUCGAAAGAAAGAAGUAAUGAUGGUGCUGUGCUGGGAGAAACCAUUCUCUGCAAAGAAUGGCAAUGUACAGGUACCAUGGAGAAAAGAUAACUGUCCAAAAAAUCAGAGAAAAUCUAGCUAUGUUUUUUUAACUUCCAAAAAUACCCUAUAAAUCAUUAGCCUGUUUUUAGGCCAAUGAAAAAUUAUAAUUUAUUUUUAUUUUCAAAGUUUUAUUUUGAGCUCUUUGAUCCUAAUUGAAGGUCCUUAAUUUCAAUUUCUUAAAUAAUUGUUAAAUUGAAAUAAUAGAACCGAAAUUAAAAAAGCACCAAACAUGGAUGACAUGUUUGGAAUUAUAUGAAAAAUAUACUUAGAUAUUCAAAUUUUAAAAAUAACACAAAUUAUACAAUUUAGAUCCCUUAAAAUUUAAACAAAUCUAAUUUUGGUAUAAAAAAAUAUUUGUAUUAUUUUUCAAUCCUUUGUUAGAAAGAGAAGAGAGAGAAGAGUCAUUGAAUUUUGAUGAUGAGAGAGAAAGUCAUUAUUCAAGUCAUUUCUAGUCAUCAAAAUAUUUUUUUUCCAUCAAUAACAUUUUAUAAAACUCUUGAAUUUAUGAAUUUGGACUUAUAAUAAUAUGAAUGAUAUUUUUACUCAAUUCACAGUUCAACAAGCAAUUAAUAUGAAUGAUAUUUUUAUUCUUUAAAAGUUUUGACUUAUAAUAACUUAGUUAUCCUUAGUUUCCAACUACUGUCAAUUUCAUUCAAAGUCUAAAGUCUUCGUCUUGUUUCAUUAAAAUCCACACCACGAUGUAAUUUGCUAGAUAACCAGUUCCAAUAUUCCACCACGAUGUAAUUUGCUAGAUAACCAGUUAAUUGGCCAUCUCUGAAGACGUAUAUCACCACCACAACCAUCUUAUCCCUCUUAUAGUGCUAACAAGAGAACGAUUACGAUGAACGUGGGAGAUGGGUCGAAGACUUUGAACAGAAUGGUUUAGAUAUUCCAUUACUAUCACAAAUAACUUAUUUGGAGUCAAACACGAUUUGAUUGAAAACAAUGUUAAUGUACGUAUCUGUUUACAUUUUUCAGAGUGCAGAGAAUGCGUGGCUGCAAAUAAUGGAUAGUUAUCAAGUCCCCUUCAGUUUCUCUCGUAAAGCGCCAAAAAAAGGAGAAGAAAUUCAUAACUUAUGAACUAAAUAAUUGGGUAAAGGAGCUGAUUAAUUACUCAGACGAAAAUGUACGUAUCUGUUUACAUUUCCACCCUCAUAGUUUUCAUGGAGAAAAUGAUUUCAGAAUAAUAUGACGAAUGAACUUCAUAAUAACGCCAAGAUCUUACAUUCAUUGCCAUAAAUGAAUGAAGAAACAGAUUUCUUUUUUAUCAUUUUAAUAAUUCUUUAAGCAAGUGGUUGAGAAGUUUGUUUAUACAAUGAUUUUCCUACUUGACAUGGUUUCCUUCGUAAUCAAUUAAAGGAAGGGGAUAAACAACACAUAAGAACCUUGCUCAACUCAAAUCAUUUAGCAAUAAAAUACAUGACUGUUGUCGCACCCCAAAAAAAAUCAGCGCGCGGCAUCGGCUGGCGAUUUUUCGUCUCGUUGUUGUUUGCUUGAAUUUGGUUCGUUGGAGUCGCCACCUAGUAAUUUAUUGAAGGCUACUAGGAAACCGGAUGGACUGGUCUUGUCAGAGAUUCGCGGGUAAGGGACUGGUUGUGGUUAGGGAAGGUAUUAGCACCCCUAACGCACCCUACCUGAGGUAAGCUGCUUCGUGGCUUUAACGUGUUAAAGAAGUGUUAAUAAUUGUCUUUUCAUCGGAAAUUAGAAAUAUCACUUACGUAUAAGUUAAUAAUUCUUAACCGUGAUCCGAUCAAAAAAUUAAAUUCUUCUUUAAUAUAUUUGCAAUUUUGUCAUUCAAAACUAUAUACAAAUAAAUAAAACAAAAAUACAAGCACACACAUACACUUUCACUAUUUUAUUUUUGUUUCUUUUCCUUUUCUUUUCUUUUCUUUUCUUUUCUUUUACAUCCAUAUUUACAAAAUACAAAUUACAAAAACUGAAAACUAAACAAAUAUUACAUCAAACCAUUUGGAAAUUACAAAAAUGACCCAAAACAAAUUCAGGAACAAUUCUGGGCUACAUUCUGGGCUGCCUGAACAGUAGCGGCGCGUCUUCCCACGCGCCACCGCCACUGGCGGCGCGUGGGUUCACGCGCCGCCGCUGGAAAACCGGGAAAACCAGGGGUGUAUAGAGCGGCUUCCUCCCCUCUUCAUUUUUCUGUCGGCGGUGACCUAAAAACAAAACCCAACACCCAACAAGCAAUUGAUUUUUAGUUUGUUUUAGAUCUGUUUUUAUUACUUCUUUUUUUCUCGAUCUGCUCCUUCAGAUCGUCUUCUCCCCGGGUCAGAUCGUUAGGUGUUUCUUCUUCUUCUCUUCUGCUUCAGGUGGCGCCCAGUAUGUCCAAGGGGGCGGCCGGCGACUGAGCUUCGGUGUGGAGAGGAGAGUCGCCCCCCGGCUACUCAUGCGGUCUGUUACCCGCUGGAUCGGGUAGAUCACCGACCCUUCUUUCUCCUUCGGCUGACAGUGAGGAGGCAGAGAAAGGGGCUGGUCUUCGGGAUGUGGUGGUCGGCUAGUGUGGGAAGGAGACGGGUCCGUGGCUGGCCGCUUCUGUGGAGGAGACGCCGCUGCAAGGCUGGUCGGGCGGAGAUGAAGAGGACAGCGAGGCUGCUGCUGGUGGCUUGGGUUCAGUGGAAGCCGGUCCGGCCACUGGUCUGUGGGGAGGAGAAAAAUGGGGAAUGGAGGCCUUACGGCUGCUGGAAGGUCCGGUUGAAGAAGGAAAACAAAAGCUGAGGGAGGUGGCGGUGUGGCUUGGCCAGCCGGCUGGAGAAGAGGAAGAAGAAAAAUAAACUGGUGGGUUUGGGGGCUGUUUGGCCGGGUGUGGGGGAGCUGUGGCUGGGGGAAGGAAGAAAAAAUAAAAAAUCCAAAGGGUGGGGGGCUCCGGCGGCUGCCUUUGGUUAGAGAUGGAUUUUAGGGUUUUUUGUUGUAUUUUCUGGUGUUUCCAAAAUUAGCCCCCCCUUGAAUGUGAGUUGAAGACCAGUAUUUAUAAGCAAAAUGUUGCUAGGUUUUUCAACUUGGUCCCUCAACUUCUUCUUUUUUUUUUGUAAAUUUUGAUUUUUUUUAUUUUUUUAUAUUUUUUGAAAACGAGCAAUAUCAACGUCAACUCAAUAAGAAAAAACAAUGAUUUUAAAAAUGACACGUGAAAAGGCGAACGCGUUUGAAAAAUUAAAUUCUUUUUUAGACGACGUUGAAAAUGCUAAAAUGGCGAGAGUAUAUUAAAAAACAUAUUUUUUUAGAUUUCAUUGUUUUUUUUUUAUUUUUGAAUUUUUUGAAAAUAUAUCAAAAACAUGGAUCAAAAAUUGGGUAGCAACAACUGUCACAGCAGCAGAAUAUAAACUUGGAAAAACCGACUGACGCUUCUCAAACUACUAAACAUAACUUAAAUGCAAUGCUAAUGGAGGAAAUCUGCCAAGAUAUCUAUAAUUAGUCGCUAAGAAUUCAAUGGUUGCCCACUGCAUCAAGAUGCUUCCAUACACUACCAGUCUGCACCACCAUCAUGUUCUCGUGAUCUACAAAAACUCGGAGUAUUCUCCACAUGUCUGAAUUUCAGUUAAUCCACUAACGUUUCUGCCCGUAAGUCCUUUUUUUUUCCCCCCAUUUUCUUAAUCUAGAAAACUCGAAUGACAUUUGAGACAUUGUCUUGCUGAGUUGGGGCCGUAUGAAAGCGGUGUUGGGUUUUUUUGUAUAACAACUCUUUAUUUUUUAAUUUAUUUUCUAUCUAGCUAUUACAUGUUAAUACUCUAUGUAUACCAUGCACUUUUAUAAUCAAAGGGUGCUGAAAAACCAUGGUAUUAUUUUUCUUAAUGUUCAUUUAUUCUGAUAUAUAUCACACUAAUUUGAAUGAUGAGAUUCCAAUAUUCAUUAAGGGGCCACAUUGGCAUGCAUCUAGAAGGGAUUGAAUCUAUGAAUUCACCAAUUAUGAGUUGGGUGCUUUAACCAUUCAACCGUGGAUGAUUAGUGGGGAUAUACCUCGUACAUGGUGAAUAACUAAAUUCGCAAAUAUUCCACUGCGAUUGCCAAAGUUAAUUGGUCAAAUCUGAAGACAUCUAUCACCACCGCAACCAUCUUAUCCUUCUUAUAAUGACCAAUAAGAGAACGAUUACGAUGAACGUGGGAGAUGGGUCGAAGACUUUGAACAAAAUGGUUUAGAUAUUGCAUUACUAUCACAAAUAACUUCUUUGGAAGAAAAAACGAUUUGAUUGAAUACAAUGUUCAUGUACGCAUCUCUUUAGAUUUUUCAAAGUGUAGAGAACGCGUGGUUGCAAAUAAUGGAUGGUUAUCAAGUCCCCUUCAGUUUCUUUCGUAAUAAGCACCAAAAAAAAAGAAAUUCAUAUAUUUUUCUUAAUUUUCUUAUAUUCUGAUAUGAAUAUACCACACUAAUUUGUUAUGUAUGGAUGAUGAGAUUCCAAUAUUCAUUAAGGGGUCUCGUUGGCAUACAUCUAGUAGGGAUUGAAUCUAUGAAUUCACCAAUUAUGAGUUGGGUGCUUUAACCAUUCAACCGUGGAUGAUUAGUGGGGAUAUACCUCGUACAUGGUGAAUAACCAAAUUCGCAAAUAUUCUACUGCGAUUGCCAAAGUUAAUUGGCCAAAUCUGAAGACGUCUAUCACCACCACAACCAUCUUAUCCCUCUUAUAAUGACUAAUAAGAGAAUGAUUACGAUGAACGUGGGAGAUGGGUCGAAGACUUUGAACAGAAUGGUUUAGAUAUUGCAUUACUAUCACAAAUACCUUCUAUGGAAGCAAACACGAUUUGAUUGAAUACAAUGUUAAUCUGUUUAGAUUUUUCAGAGUGCAGAGAAUGCGUGGCUGCAAAUAAUGGAUAGUUAUCAAUUCCCCUUCAGUUUCUUUCGUAAAGCGCCAGCGCCAAAAAAUAGAAGAAAGAAAUUCAUAGCUUAUGAACUAAAUAAUUGGGUCAGGGAACUGAUUAAUUACUCAGAUACUAAAUAAUUUGACCUGUUUACUUUUCCACCCUCAUAGUUUUCAUGGAGAAAAUGAUUUAAGAAUAAUAUGACGAAUGAACUUCAUAAUAACGCCAAGAUCUUACAUUCAUUGCCAUAAAUGAAUGAAGAAACAGAUUUCUUUCUUAUCAUUUUAAUAAUUCUUUAAGCAAGUGGUUGAGAAGUUUGUUUACACAAUGAUUUUCCUUCUUUACAUGGUUUCCUUUGUGUUCUCGUCUUUUCUUUAGCUGAAUAAUCAAUUAAAGGCAGGGAUAAACAACACAUAAGAGCCUUGCUCAACUCAAAUCAUUUAGCAAUAAAAUACAUGACUGUCACAGCAGCACAAUAUAAAAUUGGAAAAACCGACUGACGCAUCUUAAACUACUAAACAUGACUUAAAUGUAAUGCUAAGAAAUCUGCCAAGAUAUCAUCUAUAAUUAGUCGCUAAGAAUUUAGUGACAGAACACCACUACUCAAACAUCUGAAUACCAAUGUUUGCCCACUGCAUCAACUUGCUCAGUUGGGGCCGUAUCAGAGCUGUGUUGGGUUUUUUCUUUUUGUAGUGCUUUUGAGUUAGAUUUCAUUUGCGUGCGUUUUGGGUGAUAGGUUUGUUCGUAGGAGUUUUUGGAAAGAUGGGUUCAGGUUCGUGAUUGAACUUGUGAUGUAAUUCAAUGGAUCCAAAAGUUUGAAGCAGAUCACUUUUGAAGAUGUUAAUGUAAUUCAACUUCCAUUUUGAACAUUGCCGAACCGUUGUAAAUCCACCAGAGUACUGAUCUUUUUUCACUUCCUAAAACAUGUAAUUCAACUUCCAUGUUAAUAUUCCACUGCGAUUGCCAAAGUUAACUGGCCAACUCUGAAGAGUCUAUCACCACCACAACCAUCUUAUUCCUCUUAUAAUGACUAAUAAGAGAACGAUUACGAUGAACGUGGGAGAUGGGUCGAAGACUUUGAACAGAAUGGUUCGAUUGAUUAGUGGGGAUAUACCUCGUACAUGGUGAAUAACCAAAUUCGCAAAUAUUCUACUGCGAUUGCCAAAGUUAAUUGGCCAAAUCUGAAGACGUCUAUCACCACCACAACCAUCUUAUCCCUCUUAUAAUGACUAAUAAGAGAAUGAUUACGAUGAACGUGGGAGAUGGGUCGAAGACUUUGAACAGAAUGGUUUAGAUAUUGCAUUACCAUCACAAAUAACGUCUUUGGAAGCAAACACGGCUCGAUUGAAAGCAAUGAAAAUGUACGUAUCUGUUCAGAUUUUUCAGAGUGCAGAGAAUGCGUGGCUGCAAAUAAUGGAUAGUUAUCAAGUCCCCUUCAGUUUCUAUCGUAAAGCGCCAAAACAAAAAAAGAAGAAAUUCAUAGCUUAUGAGCUAAAUAAUUGGGUCAAGGAACAGAUUAAUUACUCAGAUACUAAACAAUUUGGCCUGUUUACUUUUCCACCCUCAUAGUUUUUGUCGCACCCCAAAAAAAAUCCUGGGCGCGCAGCAUCGGCUGGCGAUUUAAAUCUCGUUUGUUGCGCUUGCUUUGAAUUUGGUUCGUUGGAGUCGCCACCUAGUAAUUUAUUGAAGGCUACUAGGAAACCGGAUGGACUGGUCUUGUCAGAGAUUCGCGGGUAAGGGACUGGUUGUGGUUAGGGAAGGUAUUAGCACCCCUAACGCACCCUACCUGAGGUAAGCUGCUUCGUGGCUUUGACGUGUUAAAGAAGUUUUAAUAAUUGUCUUUUCUUCGGAAAUUAGAAAUAUCACUUACGUAUAAGUUAAUAAUUCUUAACCGUGAUCCGAUCAAAAUAUUAAAUUCUUCUUUAAUGUAUUUGCAAUUUCAUACUUAAAAAUAUAUACAAAUAAAUAAAACAAAAUACAAACACACACAUACACUUUCACUAUUUUUAUUCUUUUCUUUUCUUUUCUUUUCCUUUUCUUUUACAUCCACAAAAUACAAAUACAAAUAUAAAUACAAAUUCAAAAUAAAUAAAUAAAAAUACACCAACACACACAUCCCCUUUGUUAUUAUUAUUUUCUUUUCUUUUCUUCUUUUUUUUUCUUUUACAUUCAAAUACUAUAAAUUUAAAAUAAAUAAACAAAAAUUACAUUAAAACUUUAAAAUAUACAAAAUGGUCCCUAAACAAUCCAUAACAGUACUGGGAAACCCUUCAGGAACAGUUCUGGGCUGCCUGAACAGUAGCGGCGCGUGGACCCCACGCGCCGCCAGUCAGUCAGGCAGCGUGAGGGGGGGGCUGUAAUGCUUCCUCCUCUCUUCGAUCUCUUCACCUGCAAAUCCAAAAAAAACACCACAUCCAGUUGAUUUUAAUUUUUAUUUCAUUUGUCUUCGAAAUCUGCUUCGGCUUUUCUUUUGUUCUUUUUCAAAUCUGCUCCGUGUCUCUGCCUCCUUCCUUCUCGGUUUCAGGAGGGUCGGUUUUGUUAUGGGUUUAUCUUCUUCUCCUCUGCUUCGGGUAGAGGGGCGGCGGCUGCUGGGUUCGGCUUGAGGAGGAGCCGCGGGGCUGGUUCGUUCGGCUGAAGAAAAACCCAAAUCCAAGGAUGGCGUUGCUGCUGGAGGAAGAAGGCUGACCGGUUUGGGGAUCUGUGGGUGCCGUUGUUGGUGUUGUUGCUGAGGGAGAGAGAUGUUGGAGUCGCCGGGGAAGGUCGGUCUGCUCCUGGUGUUGCUUCUCUGUCACCAACGGUGGACAAUGGAGAAAGAAAAGGGAGAGUGGCCGGGGCUGUGUGGGUUGCUGUGGUUGGCUGGAGCUGGAGAAGGAAAAGUGAAGGCUGUCUUGGUUGAGGGAGAAGAGGAAAAAUCCAAAACUAAAGGGGGCCGGCGGCUGGAGUGGUUAAAGAAGAGGGUUGUUUCCAAGGUCAGGGGGAGCGGCUGAAGGAAGAAAAAAUAAUUCAGGGGGGCUGUUUGGUGAUCGGCUGCUGUGGGGAUGAAGAAGGGGGAAAAUAAUCCGGGUGGAUUUGGAAGGGCUGUUUGGCCGGUUUCCAAAGAAAAAAAUUCAGUUCGGGUGAGGGGCUGUGUGGGGGAAAAAAAUGAAUUGGCUCCGACGACUGGAAAAAAUUAAAACCAGAAGGGGGGGGGCGGCUGCUCUUCAAAAAGAUUAGGUUUAGGUUUUUUGUAUUUUUUUUUGUGUUUCCAAAAUUAACCCCCUGCCUUUUGCAAGUGUUGGAAACCAGUAUUUAUAGACAAAAUGUUUGCUAGGUUUUUCAACUUGGUCCCUCAACUUCUUUCUUUUUUGUAAAUUUUGAUUUUUCUUAUUUUUUUUUGUAUUUUUUGAAAACGAGCAAUAUCAACGUCGACUCAAAUGCGGAAAAUCAAUGAUUUUAAAAAAUGACGCGUGAAAAGUCGAACGCGUUUGAAAAUCUUUUAACAAUUUAAAUUCUUUUUUAUACGACGUUGACAAUGCUAAAAUGACGAAAAUAUAUUAAAAAACAUUUUUUGAAUUUUCUUUGUUUUUCUCAAUUGUUUUGGAUUUUUUGAAAAUAUAUCAAAACAUGGGUCAAAAAUUGGGUAGCAACAGAUGCCCCCUCUUUACAAUGCUUACGCAGCAAAACUCCUCAAAAUUUUGCAUAGUAAGCUUUGUAAAGAAAACAAAAGGAAAAUGAUUUCAUUAUCUUGGGCGACCUGCCCACACACUCACACUGAUCUAUUUUCACGGGCGACCUGCCCACACAUACUCACUCAAGUCUAUUUUCAUGGGUGACCGACCCACACUCUCCCAAUAGUCUAUUUUCACGGGCGACCUGCCCACACAUUGGGUUUACCUGAGAUCCCAUCUGGCGACCUCAUUCAACUGGAACGAAAAUAUUGUGUAACUCGGUUAACCUGAAAUCCCAUCUGGCGAUUCCCUUUAACCAAAGCUACAUGAGAUCCCAUCUGGCGACCUCAUUCAAUUAGAACGAAAUAUGCGUAACUCGAUUAACCUGAAAUCCCAUCUGGCGAUUCCCUUUAACCAAAGUUACAUGAGAUCCCAUCUGGCGACCUCAUUCAACUGGAACGAAAUAUGUGUAACUCGGUUAACCUGAAAUCCCAUCUGGCGAUUCCCUUUAACCAAAGCUACAUGAGAUCCCAUCUGGCGACCUCAUUCUGGUCUCAUUGUACGGGUGACUAACCCUCGAAAAAUGCUGGUCUCAUUGUACGGGUGACGAACCCUAGUGCUGCUGGUCUCAUUGUACGGGUGACGAACCCUAGUGCUGGUCUCAUUGUACGGGUGACGAACCCUAGUGCUGGUCUCAUUGUACGGGUGACGAACCCUAGAAAAAUGCUGGUCUCAUUGUACGGGUGACGAACCCUAGAAAUAUGAUGGUCUCAUUGUAUGGGUGACGAACCCAAAAAAAUGAUGGUCUCAUUGUAUGGGUGACGAACCCCAGAAAAAUGAUGGUCUCAUUGUAUGGGUGACGAACCCAGAAAUAUGAUGGUCUCAUUGUAUGGGUGACGAACCCAAGAAAAAUGAUGGUCUCAUUGUAUGGGUGACGAACCCAGAUGGAAAAAAUGUGAAGUGCGGUCUUAUUGUAAUGGGUGACCUACCCACGUGGAAAAAAAAUGAAGUGUGGUCUCAUUGUAAUGGGUGACCUACCCAGAUGGAAAAAAUAUGAUGAAGUGGUCUCGUUGUGAUGGGCGACCUACCCAAAUAGAAAGAAUGUGAAAUGCGGUCUCAUUGUAAUGGGUGACCUACCCAGAUGGAAAAAAUGUGGAAAAUUGCGGUCUCAUUGUCAUGGGUGACCUACCCGGAUGGAAAAAAUAUGAAGAACGGUCUAUUGAUGGGCGACCUACCCGAUGGAAAAAAUGUGAAAACGGUCUUAUUAUGAUGGGCGACCUACCCAGAUGGAAAAAAUGUGAUAUGACAAGUGUGAAAAAUAGGACUUACCUGGCGAAGUUCUGAAGGGAUGACAGAAGAAGGGCUGGAAAACUUGGUGCUUCCUGAUAAUUCCGAUCAUAGGGUUUGAAAACUCGGUGUUUCCUGACUGCAAGGGUUGAAAACUCGAGGCUUCCCGAUUGCAAGGUUGAUCUUUUCAUUUCUUUGGGAUUUUCCUAAUGGUAGGGUUCAUCCCAUCGUCCUUUUAUUCCAUGAUCAAAACCGAUUCUUUAUUAUCAUCACCACAAUGCUUCUUUCUCUUUCCACCAUCUUGCUGGACCUCAUUAAGGAUUUUCCUGUAACAAUUCAAAAAUAUGUGCAAAUGUUUUUUUUUUUUUUUUUUUUUUUUAGGUUAGAUGAUAUGCAUGCAUCCUUACCUGAUUUGAAAAUAGGUCCCCCCUCUUUGAUGCUCCAUCGUCAUAGGGUGCCCUUGUUUGUAUCCCAAAGCUUUCUUUGUUCUUCCGAUGCAUUGGCUCAUUCAUGUGCUAGCCAUCCACUCAGCUGUAAAUGCAGUGCCCAUCCCGGGCUGUCUUCGACAAUUACUGCUUGCAUCGUUCAUCAAGCUUGACCCUGCCCCAAGUGUGGUACUGCUUGAUUCAUCAUGAAGGAUUUUCUCUCCUGGCUUCUUCUGAGAAUUAUCCUCUGAUUGAUUGUGUGCAUCAUGCCAACACCAUCAAGAUUGUUAAUCAGUCAUGAACUUGCCUCUAGUUGAAACAGUACUCUUCAAGUACAUGUUAUCAUCAGCCUUCUUGGAACUCAUCAGUCAUCCAGACAUGCAUCUCAUAGCUUGCAGUACAAAGGCUAUGGUUGUAUGCUCAGUGCUCUUCUCAUAGAUUCCUUUCAACUCUUCUAAUCAGAUUGUGAAAAGAAAUGUCUCAGCCUCAUCAAUGAUGCUGCUUUUUAUCCCCAUACUCAUGCGGUGAAGCGCUCAUCUGGCUUCAGAACAAGUUGUCCCACAAUCAGUCUUCGAGGUGGGUGCCUUUCCGACAUUCAUUCAGUGCAGUUGUGUGAUAACAUCGUCUCUAACCAUGUUUCAAAGAAUGACAAUAUGAGAUUGUCCUUUAAGUGCAGCAUUGUUCCACAGUCAGUCUUGGUGGUGUGCAUCUUUUCACCAUUCAAUUACAUUCAUCUGUGAUUGCUAGCCAUGUUUCAAAAGAUGAUGAUAUGAAAGUGUCCUUCAAGUACAUCCUUGUUUCUCCAUUGCCGACAUGGUUCACUGGAGCAUGGGCCAUGACAUUGCCCCCAGUAUGAUCUGAAUGUGCUCGUUCAUUGAUUAUCUGUCUUUGAACAUCAUUGUCUUCAGUUCAUGAUUCAUCAUUUAAUCAUUGCCUCAUAGUUCACUGAUUCAUCAUUUAAUCAUUGCCUCAUAGCUGAUCUGAGCACUGCUUGUUUUUCCUUUUCAAGGUCUACUGUAUUGCCCCAGCUGCUCAACUUUUCAAGGAGUGUCGAGGACUUCAAUGUCAUUUCUAUCAAUGAUUUUGCAUACUCAAUCAAUGUUCUUCUGUGUUUGAUAAUCUUCCUUAUCUGGAAUCAACUCUCAUAUUUCAAAGAUCAUGUCUAUUCAAAGUCUAGUUUGUUGAAAUGAAAUCAGAGAUGUCCUUUUUUAAAAUCUUUUAAAAUCAAGCUUUUUGAUCAAAGACCCAACAUACGUUAUUCGAAAUACACAGUCCUUUGAUUGUCUUGUAUUUUGAAAACAGAAAUGACCCGUUGUAGAUUAAAAUGGUUUUUCCAUGGUUCUUUAUAUCAUUUGAACUUGAUUUGGGUAUAUCAUUUGAUAGUCUGUGAUGAGGUGACAUUUUUAUGAAUUUCAAAAACAAGCUGCUCAGGCUUUAUCAAGAAAGGUUGUUUCUCUUCUUAUAGCUUAUUUUAUCAGCAUGCAUAAUAACCAAUAGCUUAAUUCAUGAAGUCACGACCCUUAUGGAAAAACUCUUCAAAUUUUGAGAGCGCCAUUUAUCAGUUCAAAUUGUUUGCUUGAUUAAAAAGGGCUUUUAAAAGUACGUAAUGCAGGCUAUGGUUCGUGGCUAUGAAAGAAAGGAAUUUUAAAGGCUCAAAAGGUGUUUGAGGGUUUCAACGACCUAGGACCAACAUUAACUAUUCAUCGAUUCUCUUUCUCUUGUUGUCAUUGUAAAGAGAGUGACAUAUAACCUUGUUAAUCUUCAAAUAGAAUUCUCUUAACAUAGGUCAUAAUCUCAAUCCAACUUUUUCUUUGAUGAAUAACUAAUCUAAAUCAUCUGAUAACAUCGUAGGUUUUAUAAUGGAUACCAAAAGUCAACGCUUAUAGCUUAGUCUUUUUCUGGUAUUGACUUUUGUUGUGCCUUUCCUGAUUGAAAUUUCUUUUGCUCUUCAUAGACUUGAUAGGCAUUCUCCUUCCUUUAUCUUUGACUUGUCUUUAAGUGAGGGCAAUUUCAACUUCCCUUUUUUUCAUUCUCUUUUUUUUUUUUUUUAUAGCCUUCCUCAAAACUUUCUUAUAUGCCCCCAGUCUACGUGUCUUCUUUUAGCUCUCUCUCAAUCAUUGGACCUUUGUUCUAAGCCUUCCCCUUUAUCCAUUAAUUAUAUCAAUGUCUCCAAAAUAUCUCUCAUUUGCCCCCAAUGUGGGGUGUGAUCCUAGUCAGGGUUUCCUUUUUUGAAAGAAAAUAUUUUACCAGGCUCAAAAUGGGACUGCAAGGGAUAUAAUCUUUAGAAAGUGAAGGGAUAUCAAAGAUGGCCUUUUCUCAUUUCAAGCAAGGUCGGUUAGAACCGAUAAAUUUUGACCUCAUCUAGUGUAAUGAUUGGGACUUGUAAGAAUCAUGAUUCACGAGUCCAUAACUACCGAAUCCACUACAUGUCAUUAUGCAUACUGUUAAAACUUAGCUAUAUGAUGUGUGGUUCAGUUUCAGGAGGUAUGAGUUCAAAAUUGUUUAGUCACCUCAUGUCAUUUCUGUAAUCAAAACACUUUAAUCUUCCGGAUUGAUUAACCUUUAUCGCAUGUUGAGUUUGAUCAAAAUAUUUUGUCAGAAUAAAAUGCUAAACAUCUGUUGAUUUCAAAACAACAAAGAGACAAAAGCAAGGCAUGUUUCGUUGAAGGAUGAGAUGUGAUCCCAAAACAAAAUGCAGAAUUCCAUAACAAUAUGAUUGACUGUUCAUCACCUUCUCGAAUCAGCUUUUCUGGCAAUAUCUGUGUUUUGCCAAGCAUUUUCGAUCACAUGUCCUUCUGAAGAUGUUCGGGGAACAAUAUAGCCAGUGACACCCUUCUUCAACGACUCCACCUGUCUCUUGCUCACCAACUUCCAGACUCAAUUCUUGCUAUUCUUGAAACUGUUCACUUGAAAUGGUUGAGGACCCCACCAUGACAUCACAUCUCUUAUCUGGAUUAUACCACUAAGAAAUUGGUGGUUGCAUGGGAAUUUGUCGGAGUCAAGCAAAAUUCUGGAAUCUUGCGGAUGCUGGUCGACAACUUAAACGGCAGAGCAAUGUCCCAUCUUGGCAAAGAUAUUUUGAGCAAUUGAUGAUGCCGUGAGACCUGGCUAUACCACAUAAUUAAGGGUUCACACUGUCAAAGUCAUCUCCUGAUUCACCUCUCAUCAUUGUUCUAGAAUCCAUGGCAGAUCCUUCAAUCUUCCAAUGUUGCUAUGGUUGGUUGAGGAUUGUUAGAAAACUUUCUAACAGCUUGGUAAUCUUGGCAGCAUCCAGAAACUUGUAGUAUCGCCACUACCGACGUGUGGAAUCACACAUUGUCUUUAUUGGAAGAGCACCUGAUGACUCUAAAACUCCAUUGUCCCGUCUUCGAUUUCUCACUGACAGUGCAGCAAACAAACACCUAUAGAGGAAGUCCUGCUCUGUUGAAGUUUCAGUAUUCUUCAUGUUUUUCAGUCUAGGCAUGUAUCUUCUCUCUACUUUUGCAUUUUAAUACUGACACUGUUGGAGAAAAAUCAUAAAUGAUCUGAAACUACUGUAUUCCUUCUUGGAUUUCACACUUGCGGAUCCACAAACAGAUUCCUGUCGGGAGAGCUCUGCUACGUUGAAGUUUGAUGUCUGCUCAUAUUUUUCAAGCCAAGUCUGGCUCUUCAACCUGCUAUAGUUUCUUCGUGCUGAAACUGAUGAGAGAAAUAUUUGUAGCAUAUGCAAUUAGUAAAUCCCCUCUUGCAUUCCCAAUUUGCAGAGCCAUAAAUGGAUUUUUGUAGAGAGAGCUCUGCCACAUUGAAGUUUGACAACUACUAAUAUUAUCAGACCAGGUCUGACUCUUCUGCCUACUACAAUGUUUUGCUGGUGCCACUGGUGGGAAAUAGUUUCAAAGCAUAUGAAAUUAAUACAUUCCCUUUUGCAUUUGCCAUUGACAGAUCCACAAAUAAAUCUCUACAGAGAGAGCUCUACCGCGUUGAAAUUCAGUGUCUGAUCAUGGUUUUUUUUUUUUUAGACCAACAUCUUGUGCUGCUGAACUGGAAUUGAGCUCAUAAUUGGGGUAACUUCAAAGCAGACUAAUGCACCAUGCACAGGAGGUUAGUAGUCGUUUGGUUCCAUUAGAUGAUGUGGAGGCGAUGAAUACUUAACAGCGCAACUGGACAGGAAUCAGAGUUGUUAUUAGUUGAUGACUGAAGGCGUUGUUGCUGUUGUUCAUGACUGAAAAGGAAAGGUACAGUCUUCAAUUGGACGUGAACAAGCAGUGUUCCCACAGAAAACUGUGCAGACAUUCUCUUUUCAUUUGAUGCUCAACACUUGUUCGAGCAGAUCUGAGUCCCGCUACUUCACUCUUGAUGCUCUCAACCUUAAUCUGAUACUGAACCUAUAUCUGACUCCUUUGUUCACUUCCAUUAUUUUUCUUCAAUCUCGUGCAGCACAACUUGUACAAGGGACCUACGUUUCGACCCGGUUCAUGCAUGAUAAAUGUAUGAACAUGUAAUCUAUAUGAUGAACUCUCCCUUCGAGAGGUGACAAUAUGGUCGUAACUCUUGUAUGAUGGACAAGAAUCGUGAUUUUUGCCCAAACUCUACAAUGAAAAUUUUCGGAGCAACGGCCAAUGUGUCACCCACAAGUCUUGAGUUCAAGAUGCUUCAAGAAGGGUUUGCCCUUAUGCAAAAAACGAUAGCACAUACAACCUAAGGACAGGUUCUAUUCAUUAUGUGAACAUGGGUAAGUUUUCUAUCUGGUCUCAAAAGGGUCUCAUAUCUGCCCAGUGACGUUCUUCGUAAAGACAGUUUGGGGGCGUUGCAAGGAAUGGUUAAGGUACGUAUACCCACCAUUACCAAGCAGGCACUCAGAUAUGAGUUGGGUGUUUCACGCAUCUGAACCCUGACCAAUAGUCUUAGGGCAGAUCGCUAGUUCCCCACCUAACCUAGAAGCUUGUGUGUGCUUUUAAAAAUAAAUACAGGUGAUGCAUGAGACAAUUCUAUAAAAUGCAUGGAAAUAAAUAUUAACAAAAAGAUAAAAAUGCAAAAACUUAAACACAUCAAAUACACAAAGCUUAGUCCAAUAAUCGAAAAAAUACCUUCCCCAGUGGAGUCGCCAUUCUGUCGCACCCCAAAAAAAUCAGCGCGCGCAUCGGCUGGCGAUUUAAAUCUCGUUGUUGCGUUUGCUUGAAUUUGGUUCGUUGGAGUCGCCACCUAGUAAUUAUUGGGCUACUAGGAAACCGGAUGUACUGGUCUUGUCAGAGAUUCGCGGGUAAGGGACUGGUUGUGGUUAGGGAAGGUAUUAGCACCCCUAACGCACCCUACCUGAGGUAAGCUGCUUCGUGGCUUUGACGUGUUAAAGAAGUUUUAAUAAUUGUCUUUUCUUCGGAAAUUAGAAAUAUCACUUACGUAUAAGUUAAUAAUUCUUAACCGUGAUCCGAUCAAAAUAUUAAAUUCUUCUUUAAUUAUUUGCAAUUUCAUCUAAAAUAAUACAAAUAAAUAAAACAAAAUACAAACACACACAUACACUUUCACUAUUUUUUUCUUUUCUUUUCUUUUUCUUUCUUUUACAUCCACAAAUACAAAUACAAAUAUAAAUCAAAUUCAAAAUAAAUAAAUAAAAAUACACCAACACACACAUCCCCUUUUUAUUAUUAUUUUCUUUUCUUUUCUUCUUUUUUUUUUUACAUUCAAUAUACAAAUUUAAAAUAAAUAAACAAAAAUUACAUUAAAACUUUAAAAUUUACAAAAUGGUCCCUAAACAAUCCAUAACAGUACUGGGAAACCCUUCAGGAACAGUUCUGGGCUGCCUGAACAGUAGCGGCGCGUGGACCCCACGCGCCGCCAGUCAGUCAGGCAGCGUGAGGGGGGCUGUAAUGCUUCCUCCUCUCUUCGAUCUCUUCACCUGCAAAUCCAAAAAAAAACACCACAUCCAGUUGAUUUUAAUUUUUUUCAUUUGUCUUCGAAAUCUGCUUCGGCUUUUCUUUUGUUCUUUUUCAAAUCUGCUCCGUGUCUCUGCCUCCUUCCUUCUCGGUUUCAGGAGGGUCGGUUUUGUUAUGGGUUUAUCUUCUUCUCCUCUGCUUCGGGUAGAGGCGGCGGCUGCUGGGUUCGGCUUGAGGAGGAGCCGCGGGCUGGUUCGUUCGGCUGAAGAAAAACCCAAAUCCAAGGAUGGCGUUGCUGCUGGAGGAAAGGCUGACCGGUUGGGGAUCUGUGGGUGCCGUUGUUGGUGUGUUGCUGAGGGAGAGAGAUGUUGGAGUCGCCGGGAAGGUCGGUCUGCUCCUGGUGUUGCUUCUCUGUCACCAACGGUGGACAAUGGAGAAAGAAAAGGGAGAGUGGCCGGGGCUGUGUGGGUUGCUGUGGUUGGCUGGAGCUGGAGAAGGAAAAGUGAAGGCUGUCUUGGUUGAGGGAGAAGAGGAAAAAUCCAAAACUAAAGGGGGCCGGCGGCUGGAGUGGUUAAAGAAGAAGAGGGUUGUUUCCAAGGUCAGGGGGAGCGGCUGAAGGAAGAAAAAAUAAUUCAGGGGGGCUGUUUGGUGAUCGGCUGCUGUGGGGAAGAAGGGGGAAAAUAAUCCGGGUGGAUUUGAAGGGCUGUUUGGCCGGUUUCCAAAGAAAAAAAUUCAGUUCGGGUAGGGGCUGUGUGGGGGAAAAAAAUGAAUUGGCUCCGACGACUGGAAAAAAUUAAAACCAGAAGGGGGGGCGGCUGCUCUUCAAAAAGAUUAGGUUUAGGUUUGUAUUUUUUUUUGUGUUUCCAAAAUUAACCCCCUGCCUUUUGCAAGUGUUGGAAACCAGUAUUUAUAGACAAAUGUUUGCUAGGUUUUUCAACUUGGUCCCUCAACUUCUUUCUUUUUGUAAAUUUUGUUUUUCUUAUUUUUUUUGUUUUUUUGAAAACGAGCAAUAUCAACGUCGAUCAAUGCGAAAAAUCAAUGAUUUUAAAAAAUGACGCGUGAAAAGUCGAAUGCGUUUGAAAAUAUUUUAACAAUUUAAAUUCUUUUUUAGACGACGUUGACAAUGCUAAAAUGACGAAAAUAUAUUAAAAAACAUUUUUUGAAUUUUCUUUGUUUUUCUCAAUUGUUUUGGAUUUUUUGAAAAUAUAUCAAAACAUGGGUCAAAAAUUGGGUAGCAACAGUUUUCAUGGAGAAAAUGAUUUAAGAAUAAUAUGACGAAUGAACUUCAUAAUAACACCAUGAUCUUACAUUCAUUGCCAUAAAUGAAUGAAGAAUAGAUUUCUUUUUCUUAUCAUCUUAAUAGUUCUUUAAGCAAGUGGUUGAGAAGUUUGUUUAUAAAAUGAUUUUCCUUCUUCACAUGGUUUCCUUCGUGUUCACGUCUUUACUUUGGCUGCAUAAUCAAUUAAUGGCAGGGAUAAACAGCACAUACGAGCCUUACUCAGCUCAAAUCAAUUUUCCCAUAAAAACUGUUAAAAGAAAGGUCUAGAUAAUUCAUUUUCGUAAGAUUUCGAAUCUCAGAAGGGAUUUUAGAGUUGUUGAAGUCGUUGUCGGCAAGAUUCAGCCUUCUGAGCUGAACAAUGUGGAAGAGGCUGCUAUUAGAUAUUCGAUGGAGCCAUAGAGACAGCUGCUACUGAGGUCAAGGCCAAUCACAUGACAGCUGCUACUGAGGUCAGGGCCAAUCACAUGACCAGUGUCCCCAUCGCAUUCAACACCAUCCCAUGAGCAGCAGUCAGCACUUUCUUCAUCAACUUAAUAAUCAAGAAAAUAUCACACAACAAUGAUAAUUAAACCUGGAAUUUAAGGUUAGCGGGUCUACAUACCUCGAUUAGAAGCUCAGGGACCAACAUCAGUAAAAGAGAAAGAAUUACGGGCUGAACCGAAUCAAAUGGUGUCCAACCGAAGAAACAGACAUGGCGCUCGUGGCACAUGUAAAGACCGUUCGAGAUGCACUUUCCGCGCGUGUGCCUAAUUCCGUUUCGGACCGGAGUGGAAGUCAAGGCAUUGGAAUUUAUGCAGCCAAACGAUCUUCAUGGGACGGUGCGUGUUAUAUUUAUCCAGUCGGUGGAUGGCAUCAAGCUCCGCCAAAGCUUCUCGUAGCCCCCAGCACCCAUCCAUAAAAGAGCUUAUGAUCUGCUUAAUAUUUCAUGAGGAAUAUAUUGUCUUACAGAGCUUUCAUGUUGCUGCUAUUACAUAUUAGGUAUCAAGUGAUGAAGCCGUUGAAACUAACAAACUGAUUGCUUUGAAAGAAGGUUUGCUGGUAUGCCUAGAACUGUCAUGGACAUCAUAUUUCUCCAUUUAUGAUGAAAACCAGUCCUUUUCCAUGUAGGUGGGAAUAUCGUCUGGUGCCACCACAGAUGCUGCUAUAAAGUUGGCAAAAAGACCAGAAAAUGCUGGGAAACUGGCUGUGGCUAGUCAGAUUGGCUUGCUUCAAGUGGCAUUUGAACUGAACUGAAAAUUUCCUAAUGCUGGUAAUCAAGUGGUUUUUGCUUAGUAUCGGGGAGCAAUGUCUUUCCUCUAAACUGUUUGAUUCCAUCAGGCAAAAACCAUGACACGUUCGAUUAAGAUCUUCAGGUAUACUUAUUUGUCGGCACAGUUUCCACCAAGAAAUUCAUUUAUAGCCCUUUUCCUUCCUGUAAUUUUAGUGCUGUAUGGGCAGGGGGCUGCGCACCCCAGGUCUAAUUCUUAAAAUUGCUUUCAUGGCAAGCAUGAUACGAUGUAGAUGCAUAAGACUCCUGGCAGUCUUAUGCCUUGGGUCUUCGAUAAGAAGACUACUAUAAGGAAGAUCCUAUGCCUUAAUUACUCGUCGUUUUAUUAAUUCAAUCCAGAGCUUUGAAACAUUUAAACUAGAAUUGUACAGGCUCUCCUCAUAAGGAAGAGAACCGUCCACAAUUUGCAGUAAGCACACGGUAUUCUUUAGUAAAAGGCGAAAGAAUAGUUCACUCUGUGAUCACUACAUGGCUGCUUGAUUUCGAUGGCUGUUUGCUUAGCAUUUUAAAAUGGCUGGUUGCUGGAAACUCAUUUCCUUUUACUCCAUGUGGGACUUCGAAAAUGUAAUCAAGCUGGAAUGCCCCUUGCCCAGCACUCCAAAUCUCCAUUGAUGAGAACAAAUUAAUAAAUUUAGAAAAAUUAAGAAAAAAAAAUAAUAAAGAUUAAAUUAAAAAUAAUAAUAUAUUACAAAUUAAAAUUGAAUGAUAAAAUUAAAACCAAAUAAAAAAUUUACAAAAGUGAUAAGAACUAAAAAAAAUAAUUAAAAAAAAUCAAGAUUGAAGUUGAAAUAUUAAUAACUAAGUGAACAACUCUAAAAUUAUAAAUGAUUGAAGUGAAUUUUGAGAGGAGAAGAGAGAAAAAAAAAGAAGAAGGAAAAGACAGCCCCACCAAUGACAACUGUCUCACAAUUACUACUAUCAAAAGACCAUCUCCCAGUAACAACGUUAUAAAAAUCGCAGUGCAUUGUACUAAUAACUUGUUAGACAAAGAAUUCAGGUAGACGAUUAUGCAUGUAUAAAUAUCAUUUAGCACGUCAUAUUCAUUGCAAAAAGAAAAAGAAAAAGAAAAAGAAAGGGAGUUGUCGUUUUGGAGGAAAAGCACAAAAGCUCAAUGGGCUCGUUGGCUUUAUUGGGCUCUCCUUCUGAGCUGGGCUUACUUUGCUGAUGUUUAUUGGGCAUGGUUUUGAGACGGGCCUUCUUUUUUUCUUCUUUCUUUGCUUCCCGGUUAGGCUUUCUUUUAGUCCUACUUGGGCUUGAUUUUGUAGCCCUCUCACUAGAUCUUAAAUAUUUUUAAACGAAAACUGAAGCAUUUAAAAUUAAAAUUAAGAAAAGGUGGAACCAGUAAUCAGCUUGGAAAUCUAUUAAAGCGCUUAGAGGUGCGGUUAUUGUUGUUUUUUAAAGUAUUAUUUUUUUAUAUAAAAAUAUGUUAAUAAUAUAUUUUUAUUUUUAAAAAAUUAUUUUUGAUAUCAACACAUUAAAAUGAUUUAAAAAUAUAUAUAAAAAUAAUUUUAAAACCUUAUUUAAUUUUUUAAAAAAACAAAAUUUUAAAAAUUAUUUUUAUCCGUUUAGGGUUAUGCCGAGUUUCUAAACUGAGAGGUUCGUUUGCCCCUGGUUUUUUAUAUAUUUUUCCAAUUUUUUAUAUUUAUAGUCUUAGACUAAAUUUCUUUUCUUCAAAUUUUUACUCUUUUUUAUAUAGUUUCUAUUCUUUUAAAUUUGAUCUACAAGGGAUAAAUCAUUGAAGUGAGUGGUAUUUUUGCUUUUUAGAUAUAGAAGAGGAAGAAGAUGGAAGCAGAGUUGAUAAAUGCAGAGCUGGUGUUGCCAACACACUUCAGUUUCAAGAGGAUACAGAUAUAUGAGAAAUACCCAAAGGGACAACCAAGAGGCCGUUGGAAACACCUUAAGCAGAUUCUUCAAGCUGAAAAUUAUCAGAAUUGCCCUCCUGAUGAUGAAUGUCAUAUAAAUCAGAUCAUGAAUGAAUGAGUCAAUCACUGGCAUUAGAUUUAAGUUUUAAUGGAUCGAAAUUUAGAAAUGUCUUUGAGUAACAUCAAUGGUUAUUAUCAUCAGUUGAAUCAUAUCCUUCUGAAGUCCUUUUAUUUUGAGUGUCGGGAGGAAGAGCUACUUUGUGCGUCAAAACCUUGCUUGUUGAAUAUUUGGUGGUCUCUAAUUGAGAGAGAAUCAUCAGCUGUUAAUGAUAAUCUGCAUUUUAUUCCUUGCCUGCUAUUCAGCUAAGAUACACCUGCUGUCAUUGAACUUUUUGUGUAUGGUUUGGCUGAGCUUAAGCUUUUCUACAGUCAUAUGUUCUUUAGCUUGUUCAGUGGAAUUGAAGGAGGCUUUCCAAUCAAUUUGCAUCGUCCAAGUACCUCAUCAACUUUCUUUUAGAGUGAGAAGAUUAUUAUGAGCUGUCCAUCAUUCUGCAUAUUAUGCAUUGCCAUAAUUUGGUUGAGCUACUCCUUUAGUCAGUUGAGCUACACCGUCUCUUAAUUUUUUAUCUCAUCACAUAUAAUUUGGUUGAGCUUGAGCUUGUUUACAUCUGUACAAGCUUAUUGUCUUGAUGAAAUUGAGGAUGGAGGUAGAUUUCUUACAUAACUCAAACUAAGAACUGGUUCCUGUUUCCUGCUUGGCAAUGUUCUUUCAUAUGUCAAUUACAAGUCACAUCAUAUUUGUAAGCAAUAUUUCUGAGGAUGAAUUACAUCCUAGUACUCUAUUGCUUGUUAAAAAUGUGAAUACUGGAAGUUAGUGGGUGGAGAAAAAUUCAAAGAUAAAUUUGUUUGACCAGAUUUAACAUGUAAUCUUGCAACUUUGAUGAAGCAAAUGUGCAUGGUGCGCAUCUUCGAAGGUGCCAUGUGAUGUCCUACAACUGGAUUCCAAAUACAUCUGCUUUUUUUUAGCUGGAAGAAGCCAUGAUGUUGAGGUUUAGAUUGUUCAGGAUCGAGCAUGGUGCUCAAGAUUGUGCUGACCUUGUUAAAUGUUUAUGUUGAUAUAUGAAAUUGAUAAGUAAAGAGCCGAGCUAUCCUCUGUUCUUGAGUAGCUUGACACUUAGACACCAGAUGUUAUCAAUUCCAUUCAUCCCAUCAAAUACAGAUUGAACAUGCAAUGAUUAUCUGCUACUAUCUUGAAUGCUAUCUUGAAAAUACCAUCAUGCAUUGUGCCAAACAUAGGUCAUCAUCACAUAUCUAAGAAAGAACCCUCAAUUACAAUGCCCUUUUUUAUUUGCUUCAAUGUAGUGGAAAUCCAAUAGUUCAUAAUCAAAUUCAAGUAGGUCUUCUUAAUGGUCCUUUCAGCACCGUAGUAUUGUCUCAGGGGAAAUAACUAAUAAAAAUUUAAGUUUGAUCCAACAAUCAAAUCUUUUGUUAUUAUAGUUUUAAGAAGCUAAUAAAUCUUGAUUGUUUUAUAUUUUUUUUAGAUCUAAACAUAUUCUACUAGCCCACAAAUAAAUCUUUUCCAGUUUUUGAAUGGACAAGGGUAGAACUGUAUUUUUUUUAUCACUAUAGUGGUUUUGAUUAGUUAGGCUGACAGAGACAGAGGAUUUUAUUUUAUUUUAUUUUUCAACAUUUAUUUUAUGUGAGGCAUUAGAUGUUCUUGGUGGAUAGGUUGAUGGGGUUUUAAAUCUUAAAAUCAUCCUCCUAAUUAGGUCACUUUAGGUCCAUGCAUCUAUAAUUUCUAACAUUUAAUAGAAUAACCUCGAUUAUUAAAAAAAUAUAUCCUUAAAUUUUCAAACAUUACUAUCACAAAUAAUUCAUUGCGAAGAAAACCAAAUUUGAUUGAAAACAAUGGGGACUUUUCAUUGAUGUAUCAAUUAAUUUUUUUCAGUGUGCAAAGAAUGUAAAUAUUUUUUUUAAAGAAAAAAAAAAAGCAAAAUUACUAUUAUUAUUAUUCCUGUUACUGGAAAAGUAAUUUUCCCACCUCCAAGUCUCCAUCUUCAAUGGCCUUUUGCACUACUUUCAAUUUCAUUCAAAGUCCAACUAAGCAAGAUGUUAUAUAUAUAUACAAGCAGUGUACAUGAAUAGUCUCAUCCACAAAGACUUUAUGCUUGAUAACUAAUUUCAUUCAAAUUUUGAGUCGUUAUCUUCUAGAGCGGAGUUAGGAAUUUUUCUGGCUAUUAAAUAAAUAUAUAAAUUUUUAUUAUGAUCAAUUAUUACCUUGUGUAUAUAAAUUUUUAAAAUUAACAGUAAAGUUUUAAUUCAAAUAUACUAUCUAAAAUAUUAAAAAUUAAAUUUAAAAAUAUAUAAAAUUAAAGUGAAAGUAAAAAUAAACUCACUAUUAAAGUUACAUCCUUCGAUGUUUUGUGGAAUAUAAUUCAUCUAUAAUCGAAUCUGAAUCAAUAUUGUAACAACCUCUCAACCGAGAUAAAAUAACAAUCUCAUGUCAACUGGAAAAUAAAAUAAUUAAAUUUUUUUCCUCUUUCAAUUUCUUCUUCCUUCACUUGAUUCUUCCUUAGAUUAAUGCUUUAUAAGUUGGACUUUAUAAAUUUACAAGGUUAGUACCUAUCGCAUUCAACACCAUCCCAUGAGCAGCAAUCACCGCUUUCUCCAUCAACUUUCCAUGAUGCAACCUUGGGAUAAGCAGAAGGAUCAGAAGAAGCGGACCUAUGAAUGACAAGGCUUUCCUUGAACUGCAACAAGGCAUUACCCUCCUCAGCAUGGCAUAGCGGCUGCAUGGAAGGAGAAGAGUGACAAGCUCCAUGGUGAAAAAACGAGAGUAAAAAGAGCAAAAGCAUUCGCAUAGUUAAGAAACGGACAGAUGCUGGCAUUGUUUUUAGUAGAUAAUCUUUAUUUUUUCAUAAUAAGCAAAGAAGUGAAAUAAAGCAGUUUAUAUAGACAAAAAUAUUCAGUCUAUUCUUCCUGUAUUGUUGGAAAAUUAAAGUAAUCUAGGGCAUUGUCUUGUUGGAAAACUUAAAGUAGUCUUCUUGUCGGAAGACUUUGGCGCUACUGGAAGUCUAUCACUGUCUAUGUAUUGUCUUGUUUCGGUGAAUUCCAGAGCAAGGUGUGGAAUAGACAAGUGAAGCGGCCCAUAUCUGAGCUUGCAACAAAGGUCAUGGACCUGGUUUGGGGUUAAUAGCAUUAAUUCGAAACAAAUACUUUAUUUAAUUAAAUGAAAAUAAAAAAUGAACACACUCUAGAAAGUGAUUAAAUAAAAUUCAAGUAAAAAACAAUAUUAUGUGGGGUUGCACAAAAACAACGCCCACUAAAAUUAAAAAAUAAUUUGCAAUCUUAUUCAAAAACCAAAUCAAAAUUAAACUAUGUUUUAUUAUAAAAAUAUAUUUAUUUAUUUUAUUUAAUCUCAAUUAAAAUUAAAUAACCACUAGUUCAGGCAUCCUACACAUAUUUAAUUAUCCAUUUUACUUUAAAAUCUAAAUAAAAAAUUAAAGUUAAAAAAAGAGCUAGACAACUAGCCCAUUAAUAAAAAAAGGCCAUGAAGGCUGAUAUAGGGUAAAAUAUUUUUAUUUAAAAACACCUAAUAAAUAUAUGUAUAAUGCCAAUAAACUAACCUGUUAACUUAACACACUCCUAAAAUUGUCAUAAAAAAUACAAAAUCAAAUCAAAAAUUUCUCGUUGAACCUUAUUCUAUUUUUUCAAGUAAGAUAAAGAGUAAAACACCUCAAUGGAAUACCUCUCAUCAAAUAAAACUCAUUGAUAUAAAUAAUGACUUUGUCAUCACCAAAAUAUGCCCAACCAACUACUUUCUCUCUCCUUCAAUAUUUUUCAACGAGUUUCUCUAUUCUCACCCAAUCACAAGAACUGAAAAAUGAAUAAAAUGAUGUUUUAGACAAACACAAAAAUGUGUCAAACAAUAGGACCAAAAAUAAAAUUUUCCAAACGCGUAAACCAUAAAAUCCUAAAAACACACUAGACAAACAUUGUUUUAAACAAAACAAAAAUCAUUUUUUGCCUCGUACACAAAUUUACUCCUUGAAUUUUAGUCUUUUUGUAGCCAUUAAAAACAAAAUUGUUUUUGCAAAAUUAAGCGUCAAUUCAAUGUCUUAGGAUUUUCUAGACAUCUCGAUAUUUAGAUAAAAAGUAAACCAAAAUAAAUUAUAAAGUCUAAUUCCAAUCUUAUGUAAUGUAGAAGGAUGAAUUUAAAUGAAAUUUGUUUUUUUAUGAUUGAGGUAAAAACAGAACAAAAAAAAUUACAUCACAAUAAAAUUACUCACAUGCCACAAAGCACAAUGCAAUUCAACAAUAAAAAUCCCUUAUCUUUAAGAUUUUUUAAUUUAAUUAUUUUAAUGAGUAUUGAUUGUUCAAUUAUGGUAUUAUAGUGUAGCGGGCUUGUGUCUUAUAGUCAUUGGAAAACAAAUAGCAUUUUAAUAUAAAAAAUGUUUCUAAUUUUUAUUGAAAAUAUUUUUAGAAGUUGUCAAAACAAAUUAAAUGAGAAUAGUAAAUCAACUUAAAUAAGUAAAAGUUUUUAAUUUUUUUUCUAAACUAUUAUUAUUAUUAUUGAUACUUUUACCAAAAGUAUUUUGAUAACUUUUUCCGUUUAACGAGUAAAAGGUUUUAAUUUUAAAAAUCUCAUAGCAAUGCAUGGAUUUCCUUUUCUUAAAGAGUAAAAGGUUCUGAAAACCCUUGAACUUCCUUAGAAAUGAUAAAAAUGUCCCUGUGACAUGUGUAGCUCACGAGCGGCUACUGUUGAAGGGGGAAUUUUUAGCAAGAUUCCAAACAAAAAAGGGCAUAUUUUGGUAUAUCUCGAUAAGAUUAUUCUAAUAAUAGUACUGGUGGUCAUUGAUGACUAAUGAGAGAGAAUCGACGGUUUGAAGCUUUGAAUGGCCGAAGAUAACACAGCCUUUCUCUAGAAAUAUUAGGUUGCAAAGUUGAUGAAAACCAACUGAGGUUUUGCUCACGAGGAGGAGAAGAGUCUUUUUUUGGUUGUUCAACGACUUGAGGUGACCAAAGCUAGGAGAUCUAAGGAGAGAAAGAAUACCGGUGAGAGGAGAGAGAGUCUAUGAGGUUUGCUAAGGUGAGGAUGCGAGCAUGAUAAUCUGGUGCACUAGAUCUUGUGGACUGCUGUUCAAUUCUGAAUUGAUCUUCCAAUUAUGAUUUGUUUGAUUAAGAAAUUGAUAUAACGGUCCUGAUUGACAUAUACUUGUUUUGAUGUGAUAAGAUGUAUGGGAUGCUUGGUACAUCAAGUGAUGUAGCAAGAUAGGAUCAAACAUCAUAUUUUUUAAGGGCUGAAAUGAAUUUGGGUUUUAAGAGUAUAGUAAGUUGUAUUAGAUUAGAUCCAAUCAAGGGUUCAGGACUAAUAAUAUUAGAUCUAACUAUUAGGAUAUUUUUGGUAUUUUUUGAAUUGUUUUAAAAAAAUCAAUAUCUUACUAACACGAAGAAAACCUAAAAAUAAAUAUAAAAACACCAAUAAUAUCUUUGAGUUAUUAACAUUCAUAUUAACUUCUUUUUUUCGCAAACAUUUCACUAGAAGCAUUACUCAGGAGACACAACAUUUAUGUCCAAGAAACACGACUAGAGACACUGAGUCAUGUUGAAGAAAAUUUUCACUUGUACUAACUUUUCUGUUGAAAAAAGCUUUUGAUUUUUAUUCAUUUUUGUUUUAUUAUAUAUAUGUGUGAGUGAAACUAUAAAUUCAAAUCAGUAUUAGAAAACACUCGUUUCAACCGUUAAAAAUCAAUUUUGAUUACCGCAAAAUUAAUUUCUAACACCAAAAAAUAUUUUUCAACCAGUAUCAACCCGAUAGACCUGGUUUUGAAUGAAAAUAAUGGUUUUGACCAAAAAAGGCAUGAAACUCAUUUUUUAUCCCAAUUGACAUGGUUUGACUCGUAUUGACCUGAUGACAUGGUUUUGACAGAAAAUGACAGUUUUGACCCAAAAUGGCCUGAAACUCAUUUUUUACCUCGGUUGACAUAAUUUGACAUGUAUUGCCUAGUGAGAUCGAUUUUCAUAAAAAAUGACAGGUUUGAUCUGAAAUGGCUUGAAACUCAUUUUUUAUCCUCGUCGACAUGGUUUGACUCGUACUAAUCAAGUGAACUCGUUUUUUAUGAAAAAAAAAACAGUUGACUCGAGAAAAAUAUAUUUUUUAUUUUUAAAAUUUCUCUUAAAUUUUUUUUCAAUUUUUUUAAAUAAAAAUAGAAAUAAAAUAACAUACAAGAAAAUUUUAGAGAAUCUAAAAUUGGAUUAUUACAAGUCCAUUAGCUAGAGACUAGCUCAGUCACUUCAUUAGCCUAGCCAUGAUGCAGCCAUGAAAAAUCCAUAUUUUAUUUGAUGUUUUUUUCAUGAUUUGAUCAAUUAUAUCCAUUGUCACACUCGGAUAUUGCGGCGACUGAUUAAUUUUAGAGAAUGCAAAAUUGGGUUAUUACAAAGUACAUCAACUAGAGACUAGCUUAGUCACUUCAUUAGCCUAACCAUGAUCCAGCCAUGAAAAAUCCAUAUUUUAUUUGAUGUUUUUUUCAUGAUUUGAUCAAUUAUAUCCAUUGUCACAACCAGACAUCGCGGCGACCAAUUAAAAAUUAAUCUUGAUUGGAAAAAGAAAUAGAUAUUUGGCGUCUUGUUCUUUUAGGAGAAAAGGUCUAAGUUUAAGGAGUCGCCACCUAUUAUUAUAGUCACUAGGAACCCUAACUCGUCAACAUAGAUUUUGAUGGUAUGAGACUGGUUACGUGAAAUAAAAAAUGUUAUCACCUCUUAAAUGUCCUACCUGAGACAACCUAUUUGUUUUGUCUAAAAUUGCUAAAAAUAUGUUCUCUUUUUUUCUUUUUCUCCCUUUUUAUUCUUUCUAUAAUGUUCCUUUCCUUCUUUGCAUGCGAGCUUUCUGUGCUUGAAGAUGAAGAUGAAGAACUGCACCUGAUUGAAAUGACGUUGUUUUGGGGUUGAAAAUGGUUAUUUCCAAUCUAGUCCUUGAAGUUUUCUGAAUCUUUGCAUUCAAACCCCUGGUUUUUUAAUUUUAGAUUUUAACCCCCUUAUCAUUGAAUUAAAAAAAGUAAAAAGUGUCCAAAAUUGGGUUACAACAUCCAUAGUUAUUAGGCCCGGCUCGGCGGGUUGACCUAGGACUCGAGCAACUUAGGGCCUUGGUCGGAUCUGAUGAAGAAGAAAAUCGGGGUUGCAUUUGGCCCAAGGAAACUCGAGCAGCUCUUCAGGUCAAUCAAGGACCCACGUGACCCGCUGUAACCUGAUAAAGACCCGUUUAUUUUUUAUAAACAAGAAAAUAAUUUUUCAAAUACCUAUUUGUUAAGAGGUGGAACAAAUUAUUCUCUUGUGUGAUUGUUCCCAAAGACAAAGUAAAUAAUUUACUAAUACCAAAACUAACAUAUUAUUUUAAAACAAGAAAAAAAAUUCUUGGGUGGGGGCUUCCAAAAAUAAACUAAUUUUCUUUGCCUAACAAGACAGAAAAUUAAUGUACAAACCCCUAUCACUUUUUUUUUUUUUUUAUGUGGGUGCUCCUAAACAAAGCAUCUAAAAUGGUAAUUUAAUUUUAAGGGUAAAAUAAAAAAUUACUAAGGUCAAAAGGUAGGUAUUGCCUUGCAUGGCAGGAGGGGUAAUUAGAGAUUUUUCUUUUGCUCAACUCAACCUUAUGCGUGCGAACAUAUCACUUUUUUUUGUUGGUUAUUAGCUCAUAUCAAAGUUUAUUAUAUAAAUACUAGAGAAUUUUAUUUUUUCAAUGUACGAUUGAAAGACCAUUAGUAUAUAUAUUUUAUAUUCACAAGAAGAAAGUUGUGUUUUUUCAACGUAAGAUAAGAAACUUUUUUUGUUUAAAUACUUCAACUUAAAAGAAGAAGAUAGUAUCUUUCCAAUAUGAGGUUAAAAAAACUUUUCAAAAUAAUAUUUUAAAUUUUAUUAUUUACAAUAUAUAUAGAUCUUAUAUCCAUAUAAAUUGUUUUUUAAUUUUUUAUGCGAAAUAUUAAAAUUUUACAUAUUUUUUUAAUUUUCUUGAAUUGAUUUAGAUCAAUUUAUGUGAUUCAAGACCUGAAUUUUUAGCUUGAUCAAUACUUAAACCGGGUGUAAUAACUAUUUUUAUAGCUAAUAAUAAAAUAAAAAAAAGGAAAGCGCUCACCGACCUUCCAUAUCGGUUUUUCUGUAUCCACUAUUUAUAAAGGGCAAAGGAAAUAUUAGUAAGGAAAUAGCCCUUGGUUGAGUGGUCAUGCCAUUUCUGAUUAUAAAAAAAAAAGGUAACUACUCUUUUCGUUCAAUCUGGUUUUGCUUUCACAAUUCAUGGAUUCACUUGAACCGGACUGCACGUACGAGACUCAAAAGUCACGUGUAGAAUGAUGUUGAGUUCAUGAUAUUCACACGUCUUCUCUCUCUCUGUAAAAAGUCUUCCUCUUUUUUUGGUGCUAACAAAAUACUCUCUCAGCUACUAUUGUUAUUGCUGCCAAUACAGCAGCAGCAGCAGCAUAAUAAUAAUAAUAAUAAAAAAAAAAAAAAGGAAAGCAGCUUACCAACCUUCUAUUUUGGUUUUUCUGUAUCAAUUAUUUAUAAGAGGUGGAGGAAAUGAUUGUUACCAAACAGCCCUUAGUUGAUGGCUAAAUCAUUCUUCUGAUUUUUUUAUAUAUUAUUAUUGAUAUUAGCAGUCUCCGUCUUCAUUAAAUUCCAUCGCAAGAUGUCACACAAACUUGUGAUGUGGUCUGUCAGCCAAGUUGGCUUGAGCGUUUAACAUGCUCGGAAGAUAUCUAAUAUUACCACCGCAAUCAUCUCAUCAUUCUAAUGGCUAAUAGCUGUUACAGAGACAAUGAUUGAUUAAGGUAAACGUGGGAGAUGGGUUGAAGAGUUUAAACAGAAAGGUUAUAGAGUGAAUAAUGGAUAGUUAUAGAGUUUCUUUUGUGAAGAAUAAAAAAAAAAUAUCGAUUUCCAUCAACUAAUUUCCUUGGGGAUUUCCAUAAUAACACUGUAUUGAAUGGGAUAAAUGUAAACUAUUAUCAUUAAUCAAUUGAUCUAAAGAUAAUAUGGUGAAGGGAUUUUCAUAGUAAUGUUCCAUUCAUUGCCAAAUUAAACUGAAGAAACAAAUUUCUUUUUUUAUCGCUUUAAUAAUUCUUUAUGGAAGUGGUAGAGAAGCUGAGCAGUAAAAAAUAAUUCGAUGGGAUAUUAAAGCAUGCUAUAAGAAUUUCUAUUCAAUUUUGAGAAAGAGAGUUUUUCAAACGAGGCAAUCCCAGAUGGGUGAUGAAAAAUAAGAUCCUCGAGAGAUAAAUAGAAAGAAUAAUAUUCUAGGUAACAAAAUCUAAGAAAAGUCCGCAAAUUUUCUUUGUGUAUAUAUUUAGGGCUUAAUAUCAUGAACAUCUUGUAUAUGCUUUUUUAUCUCGAGGAUCUUAUUUUAAAAAAAUUGAAAUUUUUUGUUCAUAUCCAGAUCAACUGUCCCUGUUUUUUAAUAAGAGUUAGAAUCCUAAAUCAAACAAGAAAGACAACAUAAAAUCGAUCUGACAUAAAGCUACAAAUUAAAAAAUAACAAUAAAAGUAAUGAAAUUAGCUCAAAUAUUGAGGGUCUUUCAGGGCUUUUAAUAAAGCAAGAACCUGUGAAAAGCGUGCGACUCCCCUGAUUGUUGUUAAGGCGAGAUUUUCUAUGCUGUUAAGGCGUGAUUACUCGUCUACACAAAAAAUUAGCAUGGCGAUUUUGACGUAGACCAACGCCAGUACACAAGAAGAUCACGUCAAGCAAAGAAAGAUAGAAUUAUAAGGUCUAAUUCCAAGCCAACGCAAUGUAAAAAGAUAAAUUUAAAUGAAGUUUGUUUUUUUAUGAUGGUGUAAAAAAACAAAAAAACAAUUUACAAUCCACAAUAAAAUUACUCAAAUGCCACAAUGCACAAUCCAAAUCAACAGUAAAAAUCCCUCAUCUUUAAGAUUUUUUAAUUUAAUUAUUUUAAUGAGUGAUUGUUCUAUUAUGGUAUUGUAGUGUAGCAGGUUUAUGUCUUAUAGUCAUUGAAAGAAACACAUCAUUUUAAUAAAAACAAAUGUUUCUCAUUUUUAUUGAAGAUAUUUUUAAAAGUUGUCAGAAAAAACAAUUAAAUGAGAAUAGUAAAUAAACUUAAAUAAGUAAGAGGUUUUAAUUUUUUUUUUCUAAACUAUUAUUAUUGUUAUUGAUAUUUUUACCAAAAAUAUUUGAUAUUUUUUUUUCUGUUUAAUGAGUAAAAGGUUUUAAUUUUAAAAAUCUCAGGGUAGUGUAUGGAUUUCCUUUUCUUAAUGAGUAAAAGUUUUAAUUUUUAAAUAAGAAAUUUAUUAUUAUUAAUACUAGUCUAGUGGAGAAGUAAACAAGGAGUGCACAUAAAUAGUCUUUGCUACUAUUGUUAUUGAUGAUACACAUAAAUGUUCUUUAAAAAAAACAAAUUCUUUCUAUGGCUGGAAUUUUCAACUCCAACAGCGAGUCAGUUUGUUCAAUCCUGUCCCAAUACACCUUUCCAUGUAUUUUUUCAGGUUUUUAGGAAGCGCAAACUUUUCAUGCAAACAAUUUUUCUAUGCAUACAUAAUUUUUACUAUGCAUAGUUGACACCACUUUUUAUAACAAUAACACUACUCACAAAACCAUAAUCUUUAUAUUUAUUGGUGAAAUUUUUCAUUGGUAUUUGUACUAUCAUUUUAUUGGUAAUUAAUUAAUCAACAAAAUCACCGAUGAAAAUGCUUUGUCGGUGAAUCUUUCAUCAGAAAUUUUUUGUCCGUUAAUAACUCCGUUUGUAAUAAAAAACAAUUAUUACCGAUGGAUUUACUGAUGGUAAAAACAUACAAAAAAAAAAUUACCCACAUCAUUCCGUUGGUAUUUUCCUCGGAAAAAUACCAUAUGUAAUUCGGUCGGUAAUUAUUUAAAAAUUUAAAAAAAUCCAUUUUACAAAACUAUAAAAUAAUUAAAUUAAUAUAAAUCAAAACUUUAUUAUACUCAAAUAUACUUUUUUUAAAAAAAGAAGAAUAAAAUCAACUCAAACAAAUUUGCAACAAAUAAAUAACAUGAAAAAAUAAAUUCAACUAAAAACAUUCAUAUAAAAAAUUAAGUUGCGAUUGCUAAAAAAUUAAAAAUCCUAUAAAUAAAUCAACUAAAAAUUGAUCUCAUAUGAAAAAAAAAUGCUACAAUAAUAUUCAUACAAUUAUUAAGAACAAAAAGAAUUAAAAAUAAAAUAAAAUCACAAAUAUAGUGGGGGAAAAAAAAAGAACAAAGAAAAAUUUUACCUUAAUGUUGUUGCAAGUGAAGCUAAGAAGAGAAAAAAAUUCUUAAAGUAUAUUAAUUAAAAAAACGAAGAAGAAGAAAGGUGAAGAAUACAUACCUGAGCAUGAAGGAGAAGAGAAGGAGUUGAAGAGAAAAAAGAAGAGAAGAAAUGGAUAUUGAUGUUUUGUACAUAUGGGGAAGAAGAAGAAGAAAGGAAUCUCGUCUGUUGUGAAAUUAGGGAUUCCAGACUUUUUAUUGAGGUGUUUUACAGAUGAUUUUACUAACAGAUAAUUAAAUAUUAAUAUUUUAAAUCAUUUUGUCAGUGAUUCCGUCUAUAAUAUUUAAUUUAAUAAAACAAUUUUAGAAACCGCAAAUAUCAUCAACGAAUUUUCAGUCUAUUAGUGAUUUCGUCUAUAAUAUAUAAUUAAAAUUUUUAAUUUGAUUUAAUUUUUUCAAAAAACCACCAAAUAACACUAACGACUUUUCAAUCCGUUUGUGAUUUUGUUUGUAAAGAACAGUAAUUAACAGUACAAUUGGGAAAUGAACAGUUCCAAAGCUCUUGGAAAAAUACCAACAAAAUUUUCCAUUGUUGAUUUUCCUUGUAAUUGAUAUGAUGAACAAUGUUCAUAAUUUACUAACAGAAUAAAAUUAUGUCAAUAAUUUCGUUGGUAAAAAUAACAUGUUAUUAUUUUUUUGCAUUGUUUUAAUUAUUUUUUCCCAACUGUAAUGCCCUCGGUAUAUAUCAAGGGAAUAUAUCUGUCAAUAAAAUCCAUCCAAAAUGUACCGACGGAUAUAUUCUCUUAGUAUUUUCAUUUGUAUUUAUCAAUCUUCAAGUAGUGUCAUCACUAAUAUUUUAACCCCUCAUAGCACAAUUAUGGUAUGACAUAAUAAUCAAUAAAGCCACCAUGGCUAGCUAAUGGUAGCCCAAAAAUUUCUUCAUCAAUGAUACGUCUCCUUCUCUAUGAAAAACAUUCAAGUACUGAGUGUGUGAACAUAUCAAGUUACUUGGCAAAAUCCAAAUUUCAUCAUUCGCCAAAGCUAAACUUAGCUUUUGAAAGUCAGGCCUCACUAUAUACAUUUACAUUACAGGCCUCACAAUCGUAAAGUCAUCAAUAAUAUGCUACUCUGCCAUUUUAGGCCGAGGCCAUAAACGCUUCCUCUUCAUACAUCUCUCUUUGUGCAUUUUCUUUCAUACACAUUAUACUUCUCUUACACUUGGAGGCUCUCCAGUUUUUUUUAGAUGAACGUCCAGCCUCCCAUUAAGUCUAUCGAUCCACGACAUUGCUCAGUCGCUCCAAUUUUUUUUAUUAAAAAAAAAUAAUUGAUAAAAUGAAGAUUUUAUUAGACUAGUAAAUUAAGGGUACUAAAAAUCAUAAAUUAGAUAUUGUUCUCAAAUAUUUAAAUAUAGAGUUAGUUAUGAUUAAAAGAAGAUAGACAUCAUCUUUAAAUCAUCAUUUAAAGUUACAGGUUACCCUUACUUGUAUUUUUAUUUUAUUUUAUUCAAAUACUAUAAUAUUCUAAGCUUAUUAUAAUUUUUUUUUAGAGUUAACGCCGGUCCUUAAAAAUAGAAUUCUCGCUAAAAAAUAACAUCGUUUCUUUAAAUUAUAAGACUCGUUGAAAUGUUGAUAUUUAACCCUUAAAAGAAGAGUUUAGUCUAAGUUGCAAAAAAAAAAAUUGGACAGAAUCUAUAUUUGUUUUUAAAAUUUUGACAUCAGUCGUUUAAAAAAAAAUGUGUCGAUGAAUAACAUUUAUUCCUGAAAAGAAAGAUUAUGUCGGAAUUGCUAAGAAUAAGAAUAACUUAUAUUUGAGAAUUGGACUUUGGAUCCACGUAUGAUGACUAGAUAAACUGGGUGUUAGACCUGCAUCAUCAUUCUUCUUUAUAUUUAUUUCAAGUUAAAAUACAAAAAAAUAUAGAUAUGUGUAUAAAACAAAUAUCAUAAAAUCCCUAAAAUUACAUGAUUGCCACUAUAUAGGAAAAGGAUUGAAAAACACUUGAACUUCCCUGAAAAUGAUGAAAAUAUCAAUGGCGGCACGUGUAGCUCACGUGCAGCCACUGUUGGAGGGGGAAUUUUCAGCGAUAUUCCAAGUCAAAAGGGGUAGAUUCUGGUGCAUCUCGAUGAGAGGAUUUCAAUAAUGAUGAUUAUGGUUGAUGAAAGAGAAUUGAUUCUUUGAAGCUUCAAGUGGUCAAAGAUGUCACAACCUUUUUUGAAAAUAUUAGGCAGCAAAAUCGAUGAAAACCAGUUGGGGUUUGCUUGUGAGAAGAAGAUAAGUAUUUAUGUGGUUGUUUGGCGGCUUGAGGUGAUCAAAGUUGGGGAAUCUGAAGAGAGAGAGAAUUGUUGAUGAGAGGAGAGAGAGUCUAUGAGGUUUGCUAAAGUGAGGAUGCGAGCAUGGUAAUCUUAUGGACUGCUAAUCACUUUUGAAUUAAUCCUUCGGCUACAAUUCACUUGAUCUAAAAAUUGAUCUGACUGUCUUGAUUGAUAGAUACUUGCAUCGGUGUGAUACGACAAGCGACAUGGUAAGAUAGGAUCAAAGGAUAAAUUUUUUUAAGGGAUGAGAUAAAUUUACGUUUUAAUCUAGUGUAGUAAGCCAUAUUAUUAUAUCCAAUUAAGGGUUCAGAACUAAUACUAUUAGAUCUAACAAUUAGGAUAUUUUUGAUAUUUUUUUGAAAUGUUUUUAAAAAAUCAAUAACUUACUAGUGCAAAAACAAAUAACAAAAUACUCUCUCAGCUACUAUUGUUAUUCCUGCCAAUACAAUAAAAAUAAUAAUAAAACAUUUCCGUGUUAAUAAUAAUAAUAAUAAAACGUUUUAAUCUCCGUGUUAGUGUUCUCUUUGCGAAUUACGAUCCAUCGAGGAUUCUAAGCAAAAUUACAUUAGUUAGAGUAAAAUCAAACGAGGAAAUACUCUGUAAGGUUGGGUUGAGAAAAGUCUCAUGUUCAGGCUAUAAUUAAAAUGGUAAGAAUUAAAUUAACAGUAAUAAAAAAAAUAAAGGAAAUAAUCAAACACACGUCAACACCAUUAACACAAAGAUGUUGGGCUUGGUUUUGAGCCCUUCUCCUUGACAAUUGGCUUUCAGAUUUUAGAAUACUCCCAUUACCUAUGAUAUGAAAGACCUAAAAAAUUAAUCUUAAAAUAAGGAUUUCGGCCAUAAAAAAAAAAAAAAAACGUUGGUGUAAAAUCAGAGCACUAAAUUGUUGUUCUACCAGUUAUUAAACAUAUGUAUAGCAUAAUUAUAGACUUAAAAUUGCUUUAUCAUGUUUGAAGUUAUCAAACAAAUGUAAAAGGUUUCUUGGUUGGUUUUGAAAUUGAUUUUAGCUAGAUAAGAGAUUUGGUUCCCUUUAUUGGACAAUUUAACUAUAACUAUCUUUUUAAUUAUAUAGCUUUAUUAUUUUGUUGCUUGUAGUAAUCUUACAUGGCUCACAAUGACAUGAGAAAAAAAAUGAUAAACAAAUUUACCAUUAAUAAGAGUAAGGAAAAUAGUUGUUGUCGACACACGCAACUAAAGUAGUCAAGCUAGCGAUAAUAAAUAAUUUUGAAUAGUCAUGUGUGAAUCUACUACAACUAAAUAAGAAUUUGCUCCAGAUAAAUUACAUGGAUGACCUAAUAUAUAUAUAUAUAUAUAAACUAGUGGGAUAAGACUAGGCUUAAGAAGUGGUCUGGUUAUGCCAGACCAGAAUAACAGCUCAUAAGAGUCCUGAUUUUUAAUUCAACCAUUAGAUUGCAUUCAAAUUUUUACAAGAGUUUACGGAGGUUAUUUUCCUUUAAGUCGCAUGGAAUUGCUACUCCGACCAUCAGAUCUUUAAAUUUUGAAAAUCUAGCACCGAGCCUAUUUUUGGCUAUUUUUGUUAUUUUUCUUGUUAUUUUUUUAUUUCAUGUUAAUUUUUGGAUUUUAUACUUCUUUCCUUUGUAAUUUCAUAUUUUAAUUUUUGUUUUCUAGUUGAGGUAGAGUUUUUUACUUAUUUAAAUGUAAACCUCCUCAGAUUUUAUUAUUGUUAAUUUAGAAAAAAUAAAAUUCAUAAACUUAAAAUUCAUAUUUGCAGUCGCUCAUUAAAAUUCUUGGUUUUUUUUUUUUUAUUAUUUGUUAUUAUCUUUAUCUUACGCAUGCAUCAGUAACUCUCCAGUCACAUAUUAUAGCAGCACGAAUUAUAUUAAGAUUUUUUUCAUCUAAAAUUCGUACUAUAGACUACUAGUGUACACAAAUAUUCAACAUACUAUAUGUUACAUUACUAAUUACUUUAAAGACAUCAUCAUGAUAUUUUUAGCACGUUACAUGGACCAUCCAAGAGAAAUUCACUAUUAACCUUACAAGUGAAAAUUAAGGGGGAAAAAAGAAAAAGAGAAGGAAGAGGAAAUACGAGAAUACGAGAUAAUACAACAAACUGGAAAACAUCCUAAUAAUUAGAAAUCAAUUUCUACGCAGGCGAGUCUUCAAAUUUUGACCUUUGUUCACAAAGUAAUUCUUCACCAGCCAUUCAUACUUCCUUGUGUUCAUAGCGCAUCCAAGAAUCACUCCAAUUACCAACCCGGUUGCAUAACCUAUCACCACCACCUUCCAACCAAAUUCAAGUGGAUAUCCCGAGCCUUCAUCUUCUUUGGGAGCUGGUAGCGAGUCCUCGCCAUUUCCACAUUUUUUUGAUAAAGGCUUUCCACACAAUCCUGGAUUCGCAUCAAAUGAAGUGUUGUCAAAUGUCUCGAAUUGGUUUCCUCUUGGUAUUGGACCUGAUAGAAGAUUGUGAGACACAUUAAAGACCGCGAGGAAGGUGAGCUGUGCAAGUUGGACAGGAAUCUCUCCCGAGAGUUUGUUCUGAGAAAGGUCCAAAGCUUCAAGCCCUUUCAAGUUGGACAAGGAUGGAGGGAUGCGACCAGUGAGAAAGUUGUUGGAGAGAUUGAGCAAAUACAGUUCUUUGAGAUCUCCAAGGGCAUCUGGAAUUCCUCCUUCAAAACGAUUUCUUGAAGAUCAAUAGCUGUGAGAAAUUCUUGGAUCUUCUCAUAUUUUGUCACCACACCUUUAUUGGUCAUUGUCAUUGAGUAGUCAAAUGAGAUGUCAUUACAUACCUUGGUAAUUGAAAACUUGCGUCUACUUGCAUGUACAACGGGUGUUCUUUAUAGAUAGUUUUCAUGGCAGUCCAAUUUCGAAAGUAUUCAAGUGGCAACUUACCCAAAAAACAAUUACCGGAUAGAUCAACAAUCUGCAACCUCUGGAAUUCAAAGUCAGCUUUAGGUUUCCCAAUCACGCCAUGGAGCCUAUUGGAUCUCAAAAUCAGAACCCUCAACUCUGGCAAAAUACCCAACCAUGAAGGGAAGACAUCAUUUAUCUUGUUUUGUUCGAUAUUGAGAAUCUCUAGCUUGGGACAAUUGGCUAAUGAUUUUGGUAUCUUCCCUUCCAAUUGGUUUUGACUGAAAUCGAUUGCCCUCAAUGCGCAGUCACUUGAGAAAGCUUCAGGAAUGUCACCGCUGAAGCUGUUGUUGUGUAGAUCGAGUACUGAAGCAGAGUUACUUAUGUUUCCUAAACAUUGCGGAAGCUUGCCACUCAAAUUGUUGUUAGACAAUUGGAGGAUAACAAGAGAUGUCAGAUUGCAGAUUGCUGGUGGAAUUUCUCCAUUUAAACGGUUGUCUGAGACUUCAUAAAUAAUGGUGGAAUGUGGUGGAAUUGGAAGGGCUCCAUCAAGCUUGUUGAAAGAAAGUCUCAGAUAUCGUAGAUUAUUCCAUGGAAGAAUAUCAACGGAUUGCUCAAAACCUGUUAGAAGGUUGCCUCUGAGAUUUAAAUACCAAAGUGUUUCGGUGCCCAAGUUCAUAAACCAUUUUGGUAUGUGCCCCUCAAUUUUGUUUCCAACGAGUUCUACAACUCCAAGUGAUUUUGACCAUGUAAGAAACUUGGAAACUCGCCUGAUAAAUUGCAUCCACCCAAACCUAAAAUUUGAAUUUUUGGCAGAGCAGCACUAUCAUUGUGGUUACCAAUCACAGACAAAUUAUUGUCAGAUAAUUGGAAGGAAACAAGGCUUCUUGACUUAAGAAGGCCAAAUUCUACAGUGCCACUGAAUAAAUUAUCUGCUAGGUUAAGGGUUUCAAGAUUGGGAAGCCUAAAAAUAGAAUCUGAAAUUGGACCGUGCAGUUUGUUGCCUCCAAGGCCCAGUAAGAUUAAUUGGGUUUGGUUUCCUAUCCAAGAUGGAAUUCGACCAAUUAAUUCAUUUUCAUAAAGCUUUAAGACGGUGAGCUGAGUCAAGUUUCUAAGAGAGGAUGGAAUGCUACCAUAUGAAUUGGUGCCUUUCAAGUUUACAUAAUUGAGUUUGGUUAGAUUACCGAGCCAAUCUAAGGUACCAGAUCUGAAAUUGUUAUCAGAAAGGUCUAGAUAGUUCAGUUUUGUAAGAUUACCAAGUGAAGAUGGUAUCACCCCAGAAAAGCCAGACAGUGAGAGAUCUAGAUCAAACAGCCUUGAGAGAUUUCGAAUCUCAGAAGGGAUUUCAGAGUAGUUGAAGUGGUUGUCAGCAAGAUUCAGCCUUCUGAGCUGAACAAGGUGGAAGAGGCUGCUAUUGGAGUCGAUGAAGCCAUAAAGGCAGCUGCUACUGAGGUCAAGGCCGAUCACAUGACCAGAGUGCCCAUCGCAUUUAACACCAUCCCAUGAGCAGCAAUCACCAUUUUCUCCAUGAACUUUCCAUGAUGCAACCUUGGGAUAAGCAGAAGGAUCAUAAGAAGCAGACU
Molecule: long non-coding RNA, 39912 nt
Filed under: Populus tremula
Lineage: Eukaryota; Viridiplantae; Streptophyta; Magnoliopsida; Malpighiales; Salicaceae
Description: long non-coding RNA (PTRE_LNC003116)
Source: RNAcentral